GUAAAGGUUUCGACAGGGGCCUUGCAGCUGGAGAAGCUAUCCGCACGUCAUGCGUUAAAUGACAACCUAAAUAUAUACGCUGAAGAUAAUACUCAGUUAGCAUUCGCAGCGUAAGCUGUGGAUGACGUCGCCCUAGGGCGGCUUGUCCCGCCUGUCGCACUCACACGGCAGGGCCGGGGCAUCAUGAUUGUGAGAAACGACGUGUGCAAAGCUUUGAGCGCAUGGGCGUAACAUGAAGCUACCGAGCCUUAUGGAUUGUUCGUUUUCCAUGAGGGGAGGGAACGGGAAGCUUCGGGCUUCCGGAAAAAUGAACUAUGAUAGUAGAAGGACAGGGAAUGGGCUUUUGGACACGGGUUCGACUCCCGUCUAGUCCACU
Molecule: transfer-messenger RNA, 376 nt
Filed under: uncultured Acetatifactor sp.
Lineage: Bacteria; Bacillati; Bacillota; Clostridia; Lachnospirales; Lachnospiraceae
Rfam family: transfer-messenger RNA
About the family: Bacterial tmRNA, also known as 10Sa RNA or SsrA, is named for its dual tRNA and mRNA-like properties. Its role is to liberate the mRNA from a stalled ribosome. To accomplish this part of the tmRNA is used as a reading frame that ends in a translation stop signal.
Source: RNAcentral